Long non-coding RNA from Ictalurus furcatus (blue catfish), 1017 nucleotides. RefSeq lists it as uncharacterized. The record is from RefSeq and is a predicted model, not a curated record. The transcript has 3 exons. Lineage: Eukaryota; Metazoa; Chordata; Actinopteri; Siluriformes; Ictaluridae.
AAGUUCUCCCAGACUGUAACUGUGAGAAACUUUCCCUGUACAGAGCACUUUUCCUGGAGGAGGUUGUUUGAGUCCUCACCACUAACAAUAUUUCCAAAAGUGACACUAUCGCAGAAAGCACAACAUAAGCAUUGAUUAAAAAAAGCAUCAAAUGCACAUGUGUUCAGCACAGGAAUUCUUGAUUUCCUGAGUUUAACAGGCUGUUGAUUAUUUCCAUUUUUCAACAGUUCCACUUUCAGUCUUUUCCCCCUCACGGGUGAAUCUGCAUGGAGUCAUUCAGGACAAGGAGAGAGAACAAAUUCGCAUAUUGCCCUCAAUGAAGGACAGAUGUUGUGCAAUUAACCAAUCCACCCGAAUAGGCAAGUUUUCAUGCUUGAAAGGCCCGCGUUUGAUGUUUAUGAACUCUGCUUCAACAUUGGCUGAACUUGCGGUGAUGAUGGUGCUUCGGAAGUGAGGGAUCAUUACCCCUGUCCAGAGUGGUCUGUCUGUGUUUGGUCAAAUGGAUCCACUUCUUCCAAGUCCUCACCCUCUACAACUGGAAUGAUUACACACUCUUUUGCAAUUCGGGCUUUCAGGUAUUUCUUGUACCUUUCUGAUAUAAGGGGGGCUCCAGAGCUGUCAUUUCUCUCUGCUUCGCUGAGAGCCACAACAGUAAUAUGGCAUAGUAGCUCUCUUGCAUUGUCCAUGGAUUGUGACUUGAGAAGCUCUGCCAUUGUCCUCAUAAAGAAAUCUUUAAUCUUUGUGGUUUUUUCUUCAAGCAGUCCCUCAGGCUGAUGAUGCAGUGUGCAACAUCAACUUGAACAAAAUGAAGUGGCACUUUUGCUGACUCUUUACUGAGUAAGACACCACAACACUCAUUGAUGUAGGUCUUCAGAUCAGGAUGAGGAGUAAAAACCUUGACCAGAGCUCUGAGCAAAGCCAGAGAAAAGUCACUCACAACCUCUUUUGGAAUUCCAUUAUGUCAGCCAAUGUGUCAUUGCAUUAACAUUCAAUUCAAUUAAAUUAAAAUUUAUUUGU